GAUGAACGCUGGCGGCGUGCCUAAUACAUGCAAGUCGAGCGAACAGACGAGGCGCUUGCUCCUCUGACGUUAGCGGCGGACGGGUGAGUAACACGUGGAUAACCUACCUAUAAGACUGGGAUAACCUCGGGAAACCGGAGCUAAUACCGGAUAAUAUACUGAACCGCAUGGUUCAAUAGUGAAAGACGGUUUUGCUGGCACUUAUCGAUGGAUCCGCGCGGUAUUAGCUAGUUGGUAAGGUAACGGCUUACCAAGGCGACGAUGCGUAGCCGACCUGAGAGGCUGAUCGGCCACACUGGAGCUGGGACGCGCACCAGACUCCUACGGGAGGCAGCAGUAGGGAAUCUUCCGCAAUGGGCGAAAGCCUGACGGAGCAACGCCGCGUGAGUGAUGAAGGUCUUCGGAUCGUAAAACUCUGUUAUUAGGGAAGAACAAAUGUGUAAGUAACUAUGCACGUCUUGACGGUACCGAAUCAGAAAGCCACGGCUAACUACGUG
This 497-nucleotide ribosomal RNA is filed under the name uncultured bacterium. RNAcentral describes it as "partial 16S ribosomal RNA". It matches the Rfam family "Bacterial small subunit ribosomal RNA", at positions 28 to 507 of the family's 1533-position model. The record is from RNAcentral.